AAAUUGAAGAGUUUGAUCAUGGCUCAGAUUGAACGCUGGCGGCAGGCCUAACACAUGCAAGUCGAACGGUAACAGGAAACAGCUUGCUGUUUCGCUGACGAGUGGCGGACGGGUGAGUAAUGUCUGGGAAACUGCCUGAUGGAGGGGGAUAACUACUGGAAACGGUAGCUAAUACCGCAUAACGUCGCAAGACCAAAGAGGGGGACCUUCGGGCCUCUUGCCAUCGGAUGUGCCCAGAUGGGAUUAGCUUGUUGGUGGGGUAACGGCUCACCAAGGCGACGAUCCCUAGCUGGUCUGAGAGGAUGACCAGCCACACUGGAACUGAGACACGGUCCAGACUCCUACGGGAGGCAGCAGUGGGGAAUAUUGCACAAUGGGCGCAAGCCUGAUGCAGCCAUGCCGCGUGUAUGAAGAAGGCCUUCGGGUUGUAAAGUACUUUCAGCGGGGAGGAAGGGAGUGAAGUUAAUACCUUUGCUCAUUGACGUUACCCGCAGAAGAAGCACCGGCUAACUCCGUGCCAGCAGCCGCGGUAAUACGGAGGGUGCAAGCGUUAAUCGGAAUUACUGGGCGUAAAGCGCACGCAGGCGGUUUGUUAAGUCAGAUGUGAAAUCCCCGGGCUCAACCUGGGAACUGCAUCUGAUACUGGCAAGCUUGAGUCUCGUAGAGGGGGGUAGAAUUCCAGGUGUAGCGGUGAAAUGCGUAGAGAUCUGGAGGAAUACCGGUGGCGAAGGCGGCCCCCUGGACGAAGACUGACGCUCAGGUGCGAAAGCGUGGGGAGCAAACAGGAUUAGAUACCCUGGUAGUCCACGCCGUAAACGAUGUCGACUUGGAGGUUGUGCCCUUGAGGCGUGGCUUCCGGAGCUAACGCGUUAAGUCGACCGCCUGGGGAGUACGGCCGCAAGGUUAAAACUCAAAUGAAUUGACGGGGGCCCGCACAAGCGGUGGAGCAUGUGGUUUAAUUCGAUGCAACGCGAAGAACCUUACCUGGUCUUGACAUCCACGGAAGUUUUCAGAGAUGAGAAUGUGCCUUCGGGAACCGUGAGACAGGUGCUGCAUGGCUGUCGUCAGCUCGUGUUGUGAAAUGUUGGGUUAAGUCCCGCAACGAGCGCAACCCUUAUCCUUUGUUGCCAGCGGUCCGGCCGGGAACUCAAAGGAGACUGCCAGUGAUAAACUGGAGGAAGGUGGGGAUGACGUCAAGUCAUCAUGGCCCUUACGACCAGGGCUACACACGUGCUACAAUGGCGCAUACAAAGAGAAGCGACCUCGCGAGAGCAAGCGGACCUCAUAAAGUGCGUCGUAGUCCGGAUUGGAGUCUGCAACUCGACUCCAUGAAGUCGGAAUCGCUAGUAAUCGUGGAUCAGAAUGCCACGGUGAAUACGUUCCCGGGCCUUGUACACACCGCCCGUCACACCAUGGGAGUGGGUUGCAAAAGAAGUAGGUAGCUUAACCUUCGGGAGGGCGCUUACCACUUUGUGAUUCAUGACUGGGGUGAAGUCGUAACAAGGUAACCGUAGGGGAACCUGCGGUUGGAUCACCUCCUUA
Molecule: ribosomal RNA, 1542 nt
Filed under: Escherichia coli
Lineage: Bacteria; Pseudomonadati; Pseudomonadota; Gammaproteobacteria; Enterobacterales; Enterobacteriaceae
Description: bacterial SSU rRNA
Rfam family: Bacterial small subunit ribosomal RNA
Source: RNAcentral